CUUGUGAGUUUACUUUCGCCAUCGCAGUAUGAGUAAAUAGGCUAGCUUGCCGGAAAAUGAAAGGGAUCGGUUUUGGUGAAGAGAGGGGACCCACGUGUGUGCCUCGGCCUCUGCCACUGACAUCAGGUGGUGAGGAUGGAGGUCGAUAAGAGGGUGAGUGGGCCGCCAACCACUGCAGUUCAGGACUGGACAGCAUGAAAUCACCACAUAUUUUUAAGGAGACCUCAGGAUAAUUUCCUACCAUACCACAAGGCACGAGGCACCAUCAACUGUGGAGAACAGGAAAUAAGUGCCCUGCCUUUGACUCAGCGCUGUAAAAGCAAAAUAAUAGAUCACUAUCGCCGUUCCUCAAGCUGCUGCACUGAAGAAGAACAAUCAGGCAAAUGCCUUCUAUGCGAUUCCCUUGAGAUAUCAUCCUGCAGAGCUGCGCUCUCUUGUCACCAGGCAGUUCCUUCUUUGGUCUGAUCAGCUCCACAACUGCAGCUGUGACAGGUCUGCAUUUAUUUACUGUGCAUUUAACUUGUACUUAGAUAGAAUGUGAAAAUCAGAAGACUCACAUACGAAUGUAGGUAAUUGUGGGCAGUUAUGCAGUGCAGAAUAUUCCAUUGAUUUAUGAUUAAUUCAUGUUGUACCAUUAAAGUGGCUAUAGGCCUAAUCAAUAUUUUAUAUUAACAAAUGUGGCUGCAAACAACGUAAAAGCAAUGAUCAUCAUUCAGAUCUGCAGCUCGACAUGACACUUCAUGGCACUUUAUACGUAUGUUUCAACACGCAGUUGUUUUCCACGAAAUAUGGAAGAUGAACAUUUAGCAGCUAAACACCAAAUAGCUAAACAACAAAAAGAUGACUAAAAGUAAGUGAAUGAAAGCGAAAGACUGGCAUUCACUUAGGUAGUCAGAAAAGCGCCUCAAAAUACAGGACAAAAUUGCUCUGUUACUCUUGGAAGUGAAAAUAGAAAAGUUUGCAAACAAGUUCAUCAUAACAACUUGUAAAAUAAGGUGGUGAUAUGCUGCCCUCUAGUGGCCAAAAAAAGAAACAGUCAUUGCACAAUUGACAUACAAUAUUAGACGCCACAGUUCCGAAAAUUCUUCAAGUCCAUUAUUUCUAUUUUAUAACACCGUUCUUUAGAGGUUUUACAAGCACCACUGAGUUGUAAUGCCAAGUAAAUACAUGCUACUGCUAAGUUAGCAUCUGCCAUAUAAAGUAGCAUAUUUUGUAGGUUUCACAAAGCUAAAUUUGCUCGACUGGCUCUGUCAAAGGCUAAUGAAACCCAACUACCAGAGCCUCUAAAGCUCACUAAAUUUUCGGUUUUUUAUUCUUUGGCUUUUGUACAGAUUAACCAAACAAGAUAUAACAUGCUAGGACAGAGCCAGGUGUUUCUCGCUGUUUUGAGUGUUUAUGCCAAGCAAAGAUAGCAGUUGUUGGCUCCAAUCUAAGGGUUUUAUCAAUCUUGUCAUCUAACUCUCAGCAAGAUACGAACAAGUACAUUCCCAAAAUGAUGUACUAUAAUGCUUGAAAAGUGUAGCUGACUGAUUUAGAGGCUACUUUAAAUAUAGCAUAAUAUUCAUGUUAAUAAAUGUAUUGGUAUAGACGCGUCAAACAUUUCACAGAUGGCACAGAGCCU
Molecule: long non-coding RNA, 1621 nt
Organism: Acanthopagrus latus (yellowfin seabream)
Lineage: Eukaryota; Metazoa; Chordata; Actinopteri; Spariformes; Sparidae
Exons: 3
Source: RefSeq, a predicted model, not a curated record